GGGCGUGCGUGCCGCCGUUGAUCCGGUGCUGCAGUGAGGAGGUGGUUCUCGCCCGUGUUGUGUGUGUGUGUGUGUGUGUGUGUGUGAGUGAGGGAGCGAGUGAGUGAGUGAGUGAGAGUGUGUGUGUGGGGGCACUCGGCUUCUUGUUGUCGGUGACUUCCCCCUCCCCUUCGCCCCUCCCCCUCCCCGCCGCCGCUGCAGUGGCCGCUCCCUGGGCCGUAGGAAAUGAGCGAUAACGAUGACAUCGAGGUGGAGAGCGACGAAGAGCAACCGAGGUUUCAAUCUGCGGCUGACAAACGGGCUCAUCAUAAUGCACUGGAACGAAAACGAAGGGACCACAUCAAAGACAGCUUUCACAGUUUGCGGGACUCGGUCCCGUCGCUCCAAGGAGAGAAGGCAUCCCGGGCCCAAAUCCUAGACAAAGCCACAGAGUAUAUCCAGUAUAUGCGAAGGAAAAACCACACGCACCAGCAAGAUAUCGAUGACCUCAAGCGGCAGAACGCUCUUCUGGAGCAGCAAGGGGAAAGCGAGAGCUGAUCAAGUUCUUUGUUCCUGGGGAAUUCACUUCUCUUCCUCCCUCAUGGAAGAUGCAAGUAAAAGGAAAUUCCGUGCACUGGAGAAGGCAAGGUCGAGUGCCCAGCUGCAGACCAACUACCCCUCCUCAGACAACAACCUCUACACCAACGCCAAGGGCAGCACCAUCUCUGCCUUCGAUGGGGGCUCAGACUCCAGCUCAGAGUCAGAGCCUGAAGAGCCCCAAAGCAGGAAGAAACUCCGGAUGGAGGCCAGCUAAGCCGAGUGGGGCAGCCAGCAAUAAAAACUGUCUUGUCUCCUCCGUCGUCCCAUCCUCCUCUCAGUUCAUCGUUAGAAGCCCCAGAACCAUUUAAGAGACUCAUUUUUUCUUUUUUUUUUUUUUUAAUUUUUAUUUUUACAUAGAAGCUCUUGGACAAUAGCUCUCGUUCUCUUUCCCCAUUUCCACUUUUUUUUUUUUUUUAAAUGUAUUCCCUUCAGGGAUUCCCUGUCCCCUCCAGGAAUUUUUAAACCAAAAUACCCCAACUUGGCAGCUUUUUCUGUGGAGGACGGACGGACGGCCGGACCUGAGCACAUGGUGUCCUGCCCACCCCACCAGCUCCUCCAGCCCCACUGGGCCCAUGCCUGGAGGAUGCCUGCCCUGCCAGACCUCUCUUGGUCCCCUCACUUCUAUUUGAUAGACUUUGUGAAUCUGUGAACUGCUCUACUUUGAGAAGAUGACCAGGUUGGGAUGAUCAGAAUCACCCCCUCUCCUUUGUGAGGAUUUUUUUCUGGAAAGGUAUUUAUCGCUUCUGUUUAAAGACAAGAUCCUUGAAGAAGUUUGUGGUGUAAAAGGGAAGUGGGGACAGAUUUGCAGAGUCCUUGGCAUGUUUCACUCAAUUCUCCCAACCAGCUGAUUAAAUCUUCAGCACCUGCCUUGUGGAGGACCACAUGACACUUGUGGUAUGUAUAGGAGACAGCAGCAGUGAAGCAGCAGCUACCAGGGAGUGGUAGGGGUGGAUAUUUGGGGGGUGGGACAGGGAGGGAGCCUUGGGCUGGGUAGAGGUUUUGUAUUGAGGGCCAGUGAUAAUGUUUUGAUAUUUAUUUCCUGCUACUGAAAUUUGAAUCUGAGUGAAUUGUCCCUAUUUCUGAUGAUGUCGAUACUGCAAAGCGACAGAUUCAUAAAGUAAUGAUCAAAUCUUCCUUUCUUUUCGUGUGUAUUUCUAAGAAAUAGAUCCAUCUGAUUUUGUAUGUAAAUACCAAGAGCAAUUUACCUGGUACUAAACCUGCACCCCCAUGUGGCCCUUUCCUUAUUCUCCCCACGUCCUCUCCUGUCCUGGAACCUGUCUCCAUUGUGUGAUCCAGCCCUGGUUCUGGCUGUGGUCAACAGAUCCCAGUGAAGGGCUUUGUGUCAUUAGGCCUCAUUUCUUUGUCUUUUUCCUACUCUGUUUCCUGCAUUUGCUGAUUUCUAGUGUAUUCUGUGUAGUCUCAGUCCGUGUUUGAUUCCAUUCCAUGGAAAUAAAAAGUAUGUUGUACAUACUGCCGAAGAAUUGUCUUGCAAGUUAAGGCUUCCCCCUUUACUAUAAGACUAUAAAUAAAAACUUAUUUUAUCCUUCUU
Non-coding RNA from Castor canadensis (American beaver), 2128 nucleotides. NCBI's taxonomy places the organism in Eukaryota, Metazoa, Chordata, Mammalia, Rodentia, Castoridae. The record is from RefSeq and is a predicted model, not a curated record.